UAAAGCCGGAUAUUUAGGUAACCAACAGGUUACCGGUUACACAACGUAAGGUUACACUCUUACGUUGGCUUCAAUCCCCACCCACCGUCAUCUUCAUCCCCAAACCUCCUUUGUCCUCUUCUUCUCUUCGCUCUUAUCUUCUGAAUCUAACCUCAUGUGCGAUGAAUCGAUCCAUGAUGGUCUCCUUUCUUCUUCUUCUCUUCUGAAUUGAACCCCAACAUAAACCCGAUUCAGACCUUGAAGAUUAGGGCAUGUGACUGAUCAGACUUUUCUUCCUCCAUGAAAUUCGAUUCAGACAUUGGGUGAUGAACAGAUCGAUCUCCUCCACCAUCUUUCCCUUUCGAUUUUCCAUAUUGAUAUGAGGAGCUACCUUACUGCCGUCAUGCUCACAUACAUCAGAUUACAUCAUUGGAACAUGAAUCAGAGUAAAGGGGUUCAUCACCUUCAUCACCCAAUUCAGACCUUGGAGUCAAGGUAGCACCUGUUCAUCAACCAAUUCAGACCUCUUUGUCUUCGAUUUUAAGGAAAACACACCCAUUUUGGGGUUCAUCAAUAUCUGCUUUGUGAUUAAAAUUUGCACACAACACACAGUGUAUGAUUUGCUACUAAUUUGUGUGUUAUGUGUGUAUUUUUGUGUUCCUAUGUAUUUCCAAGAUGACCAUGGUGAAUAGGGUGAAGAAGAGGAGAGUGUUACCGGAGCUAGGUUUAGAUAUGGGCAAGAAUGGGAGGUGGUAGUGAACAAUAUCAAUAUAGUUAUGGUAGCGGUGGUUGAUUUCAAUGAUGGUAUCAGUGGUGGAUUUCAGGUUUGAUGUUUUUGGAAAACAUGAUGACCAAAGAGAAUAGGGGAUGAAGAAGACAAUACAACGGUGGUGAGGGGCUACUGUGUGCACCAUUAGUUAUGGAGAAUAGAGAUGGUGAUGGGUUAGAUGAGGAGAGUUUGAAUAUUUAUAGAUACAAAUUUCGAUUUGCAGGUGGGAAGGUAAUGGAAAUGGAGAUGAUUUUAGGCAUCUAUAGGGUCGUUUGAUAGUUGCUGACUAAGAAAGUGCUGAUUGAGAAAGGUCUGUCUGAGUAAUAAGUUCUGACUGAGUAAGAAACUAUGCUGUUUGAUUAUACAUCUGAGUGAAUGUGCUGACUGAUACAAAAUGACAAUUUUACCCUGAUGCUCUUUAUAGUAGUAGUAGUAGUAGUAGUAGUAAUAAUAAUAAUAAUAAUAAUAAUAAUAAAAGUAAUAAUAAUAAUAAUAAUAAUGUAUACAAAAAACUUCCAGCAUAAAAGACAUUAAAUAUACUAUUUUAGAGAUUAAAACACAAAAAACCCUUUAGCUUACUGGUAAACAUCAUUCUAUGUAUAGAGGAGACCCGAGUUCAAUUCUUGUAACCUCCAAUUACAUUUGUUUUUAUCCAAGGCCAAGGGUAUUAUUGUAAAGUCUUGCUUUCUUUCUCAGUCAGCCUCCUGCCAAUUCCUUUCUCAG
Molecule: long non-coding RNA, 1471 nt
Filed under: Lactuca sativa (garden lettuce)
Lineage: Eukaryota; Viridiplantae; Streptophyta; Magnoliopsida; Asterales; Asteraceae
Description: long non-coding RNA (LSAT_LNC003304)
Source: RNAcentral